Molecule: long non-coding RNA, 650 nt
Filed under: Cyanistes caeruleus (blue tit)
Lineage: Eukaryota; Metazoa; Chordata; Aves; Passeriformes; Paridae
Description: lncRNA (ENSCCEG00000015388.1)
Source: RNAcentral
CUGGGUCCGCCGCCGCCAAGCCCGAGUACAGCCAGAGCAUCGGCAGCAGCGGAGCGUUGCUUGGCUUUUGUCUCCGUACGCUUUCUUCCUUUCCUUCCAAACUUCUGGACGCUCUCUCCGAGCUGUAUUUAUAGACCUGGAGCCCACGGCUGUAUUUUUCCUUUUGCCUCCUUUGGCUUGGGCUUAAGUUACUGGCGGGGAAAAUAAAAAAGGAGGCAGGCAUGCAGGCGGGCAAACGGGAGGAUAGAAGAGGGGAAAGCUGGAGGUGCCGCAGGCGGGACUCGAGGGGAGGCUGGGGCAGGCUGCCGGAGAGAGGGUGGAUGCUGAAAGUCUCUAACAAAAUAUCUCAGUAACGUGGAUGGUGCAAUUAUCAUGUUGUUGAGCAUUUCCUUAUUGACGUGCACCACACAUAGCGUCUAAUCUCCAAAAUGUAUGUCAAAGCAGUUUCUCGGUUUCUGACGUGUUUAGAGAGCCUGUCCUGCAGGCUUUCCAGAGAGUUUGACGCCUGCAGAGAUCUUCCUGCAGGGCUUUUCCGCAGAGCUGUCAGUUUCCUGCAGUCUAAGCUUUGCCCUGUGCGCUCGAGGAUACCCUCUCAUCACGGACAGCAUGAGUCAUGUUUCUGCACCAGAACUCCAACUCAACAGCCAUAG